RNAcentral lists this ribosomal RNA (430 nucleotides) under uncultured bacterium. RNAcentral's name for it is "bacterial SSU rRNA". It matches the Rfam family "Bacterial small subunit ribosomal RNA", at positions 340 to 763 of the family's 1533-position model. The record is from RNAcentral.
UACGGAAGGCAGCAGUGGGGAAGUAUUGCACAAUGGGCGCAAGCCUGAUGCAGCCAUGCCGCGUGUAUGAAGAAGGCCUUCGGGUUGUAAAGUACUUUCAGUCGUGAGGAAGGUGUUAAGGUUAAUAACCUUAGCAAUUGACGUUAGCGACAGAAGAAGCACCGGCUAACUCCGUGCCAGCAGCCGCGGUAAUACGGAGGGUGCGAGCGUUAAUCGGAAUUACUGGGCGUAAAGGGCACGCAGGCGGUUAAUUAAGUUGGAUGUGAAAUCCCCGGGCUUAACCUGGGAAUGGCAUUCAAGACUGGUUAGCUAGAGUCUUGUAGAGGGGGUAGAAUUCCAUGUGUAGCGGUGAAAUGCGUAGAGAUGUGGGAGGAAUCCGGUGGCGAAGGCGGCCCCUGGACAAAGCUGACGCUCAUGGUGCGAAAGCGGU